This 473-nucleotide ribosomal RNA is filed under the name uncultured bacterium. RNAcentral describes it as "bacterial SSU rRNA". It matches the Rfam family "Bacterial small subunit ribosomal RNA", at positions 335 to 802 of the family's 1533-position model. The record is from RNAcentral.
ACUCCUACGGGAGGCAGCAGUAGGGAAUCUUCCGCAAUGGGCGAAAGCCUGACGGAGCAACGCCGCGUGAGUGAAGAAGGUCUUCGGAUCGUAAAACUCUGUUAUUAGGGAAGAACAAAUGUGUAAGUAACUAUGCACGUCUUGACGGUACCUAAUCAGAAAGCCACGGCUAACUACGUGCCAGCAGCCGCGGUAAUACGUAGGUGGCAAGCGUUAUCCGGAAUUAUUGGGCGUAAAGCGCGCGUAGGCGGUUUUUAAGUCUGAUGUGAAAGCCCACGGCUCAACCGUGGAGGGUCAUUGGAAACUGGAAAACUUGAGUGCAGAAGAGGAAAGUGGAAUUCCAUGUGUAGCGGUGAAAUGCGCAGAGAUAUGGAGGAACACCAGUGGCGAAGGCGACUUUCUGGUCUGUAACUGACGCUGAUGUGCGAAAGCGUGGGGAUCAAACAGGAUUAGAUACCCUGGUAGCUACGAGU